Molecule: long non-coding RNA, 626 nt
Organism: Apis dorsata (giant honeybee)
Lineage: Eukaryota; Metazoa; Arthropoda; Insecta; Hymenoptera; Apidae
Exons: 4
Source: RefSeq, a predicted model, not a curated record
CGCACUUAACUAUCAGUUUUGUGUGUAUUUAUGUAAGUAUAGUCACUCAUACAGAUAAAAUGAAAUACAAUAAAAUUGGCAGAAGAAUUAUAAUACAGUAUACUUUCGACAAUACAAGGGCAGCUGUUUCGGUAGCAAUUCUCACAAUGGCAUCGCGCGAAUAAUUCUUACGAUUGAUGAUUGGCAGCUUCAAAAAUUUGCUAGAGAGUGAAAAUCAGCCGGCAGCGGCGAAUCCUCUUCGCUGUGGGUGGAAAGGAAUCGAAUGCGGUGAUUACUGGGUUAAUUUCCUCCAUUAUCCACGAGUGACCCACAUCUUCGGGGCUUCCGCUUUCGGAGAUGUUGAACUAGUGAUGGCUACGAGAUCGCUCGUUACAGAGUAGAAAGGAGUAACCGAUCCCGAUUACGAUUUCUCCUCUCAAUGCCAUGAAAAACGUCGACACUUUCACAAAGCGACGCGUGCAGCUGUUCCGAGGAGGAACUCCCCGUAUCUGAAAAUGGUGGAUAAACGGCGGAAGGGUGAAGCUGACUCUCCAUGUCCACGUGCCGCCUCCUAUUUCGUGAAUUAUCGGUGCAAUCAUCUGGAACAGUUUGCAAUUACGAGAAAUAUACGAUUGAUUGAUGGAUUG